GUGGGGAAUCUUGCGCAAUGGCCGCAAGGCUGACGCAGCGACGCCGCGUGUGGGAUGACGGCCUUCGGGUUGUAAACCACUGUCGGGAGGAACGAAUACGCGAUGAUGAAUCGUGGGUGACGGUACCUCCAAAGGAAGCACCGGCUAACUCCGUGCCAGCAGCCGCGGUAAUACGGAGGGUGCGAGCGUUGUCCGGAAUCACUGGGCGUAAAGGGCGCGUAGGUGGCCCGUUAAGUGGUCGGUGAAAUCCCGGGGCUCAACUCCGGGGCUGCCGAUCAGACUGGCGAGCUAGAGCACGGUAGGGGCAGAUGGAAUUCCCGGUGUAGCGGUGGAAUGCGUAGAGAUCGGGAAGAAUACCAGUGGCGAAGGCGUUCUGCUGGGCCGUUGCUGACACUGAGGCGCGACAGCGUGGGGAGCAAACAGGAUUAGAAACCCGUGUAGUCC
RNAcentral lists this ribosomal RNA (444 nucleotides) under uncultured bacterium. RNAcentral's name for it is "bacterial SSU rRNA". It matches the Rfam family "Bacterial small subunit ribosomal RNA", at positions 354 to 796 of the family's 1533-position model. The record is from RNAcentral.